RNAcentral lists this small RNA (133 nucleotides) under Marmota monax (woodchuck). Lineage: Eukaryota; Metazoa; Chordata; Mammalia; Rodentia; Sciuridae. The record is from RNAcentral.
GCCGGGUGCAGUGGUGCACACCUGUAAUCCCAGUGGCUUGGGAGGCUGAGGCAAGAGGAUAUCCAGUUCAAAGCCAGCCUCAGCAAUUCAGCAAGACCCUAAGCAAGAGCAAGUCAGUGAGACCCUGUCUCUA